Canis lupus familiaris (dog) is the source of this 2598-nucleotide RNA transcript. It is a transcript of the gene named RAB24, member RAS oncogene family, with no coding region annotated. The transcript is spliced from 9 exons. The record is from RefSeq and is a predicted model, not a curated record. Lineage: Eukaryota; Metazoa; Chordata; Mammalia; Carnivora; Canidae.
CGCCCCCUCACCCUUUACACUCGCCCCCCCUCGCCCGCGGGAGUCUCGGCGCUGCAGGACCGACCCGGGUUGAAGGGGCCCCUAGGUUCUGUGGGGAGGAGUCCGUGCCGGAUCGACGCCUGAGCCCGAAGGCCGAGCUGGGCGGCGGCAUGCGGCGCCGUUGAGGGCGCUGCCGCGCGCGCUCCCAGGCCGCCCUGAGUCCUGGGCUCUUUGAAGGAGGGUCAGCGCCGGGGGCCGAGGAGUGGGGCACACGGGGGAGCUGCCGGAGCUCCCGCCGACGCCGUGUCUCCAGGCGUAGCUUGGCGCCUGGGGUCAGGGGCCGAGGCUUGGGCGCUGCCUGCCAGAGCGGAGAUCCGGGUUUGCCUCCCGCCCCCGCUCAGGACCCUGAGGCGGGUGAGGCAGCCCAGAGAGCAUGAGCGGGCAGCGCGUGGACGUCAAGGUGGUGAUGCUGGGCAAGGAGUACGUGGGCAAGACAAGCUUGGUGGAACGAUACGUGCACGACCGCUUCCUGGUGGGGCCCUAUCAGAACACCAUCGGGGCUGCCUUCGUGGCCAAGGUGAUGUCCGUUGGAGACCGGACGGUGACUUUAGGUAUUUGGGACACAGCAGGCUCUGAGCGCUACGAGGCCAUGAGCCGGAUCUACUACCGGGGAGCGAAGGCUGCCAUCGUCUGCUAUGACCUGACGGACAGUAGCAGUUUUGAGCGGGCAAAGUUCUGGGUGAAGGAACUGCGCAACCUAGAGGAGGGUUGUCAGAUCUACCUGUGUGGCACCAAGAGUGACCUGCUGGAGGAGGACAGGCGGCGUCGACGUGUGGACUUCCACGAUGUCCAGGACUACGCAGACAGUAGCUGUUCUCAGCUCCCCAGGGAUAUCAAAGCUCAGCUCUUUGAAACAUCCAGCAAGACAGGCCAGAGUGUGGACGAGCUCUUCCAGAAAGUGGCAGAGGAUUACGUCAGUGUGGCUGCCUUCCAGGUGAUGACAGCAACCUCUGGCCCUGCUGCAAUGGCCCUAGGAAGCUCAGCUGAGAGCUAAUUGGUCAUAACCAAUGACAGUCUCGUGCAGCAGCUACCUAGCUCUAAGUGAUCUGGAAUGUCUAGCACAUGAAGCAGCCCAAGCAUUAUUUAGCAGGAAAAGGGACUUGUGGAAGCUCCUUUCCUGCAAUGACCUCAGGGGAAGCUGCCAGGACCAUACUUCCUUCCUGCCAUUCUGUUCUCAUGAUGUGACCUGGGAGUCCAGUUCCAGUAAGGAGAUGCUGCUGAACCUGGGAAAGGAUCACUGAUGCGCUUUGUGCCCUGACUGUAGUGUGGGGUAGAGAAUGUGAUAAAACAAUUAUUUCCAUCGAUGCUAAAGAUGCAGAUUUGGUAGUUAUUCAUUAGAGGAUCAACACAGUGACUUAAAUCACCUCAAACUCAGUAACUUAUGGGGGAAGCAGACAUUUAAAAACCUGGGAUACUUCUGUAGCUUUGACAGCUAUUUUGCUAUUAGAAUGGGUUUCUCCAAAGGAGAAGCAAACGAGGCUUUGAAUUCAAAUUUCCAUAAAGUCCUUUUGACUUAACAGGGCUAGGAGACAUAUUGGUUCUUUAGCAACCUAUGGAAGCCAUGGCUUCCCUCUUGGAAACAUUUCCUGGGGACUGGCUCAGAGGCAUUCUCUUGAGAUCCUGAUUUCCAGGCACUUGGCCAAAUACCAAAAUACCACCCUACACAAAGAUCAGGAUUCUAAGAGAAAAGCUUUCCUUUUAACUGCCAAUUCACACCCUCUGGAGAAAAGGUCUCAGUACAGGGCUCCAGGAGAGUCCCCAAGGGCUGGCAAGGUUACUCCCUCCCCACUGACCCUCAUGCAAGAGUCUCAAUUUCCCAACAGUCCUUCUGGCUCUGCUUCUAAUUGUAUGGUGACUGCUUUCUUGAUGUUAACAAUCUGGUAUCAGGUAUGAGGUGGGCCUGAUAGCUGAAUUUCUAGUUUCCAUUCUACCUGAGAGCCUUUCAGUAACCCUCACAAAAGCCUGGUUGUCUAUCCAUUUAGAUAAAGAACUGCCACCCCCCCACCCUCACCCCCAAACCAAGCACACCUCAAAAGUUGUUUUCCCAGGCAGUUCUGGAAGGAAGUUUCCAGCAAAUGGUGGAGAAUGGAAAGAACCAAAACAAAAUCACAGUGGCCAAUUAUGGCCCACCUUUCCCUCACUCCUUGUCCUGUGAGACAUAUCUAGAGAGCGGAUGUCAAGUCAAUUACCUACCAAAGCCUAUUUCAGGAUCAAACUUCUCCACUUAAUUUUUUUUACAUAGCCUGCACACACCCCACCCACCCCCAAAUUCACAGUUUAUUUCAUGAAACAAAGAGCUACGGUAAUUUAACACACAACAUAGUGAAAGGAGAUUCUGACAGUGCAGUGCGAAUAUCUUUUUCUGAUCACAACUACAGAUGACAGGAGAGAAAAGGGCACAGGACUGGCACCAAGCAAACCCUACUCAUACAGCCUAAGAGAUUAGGGAAAGGGACCUACUAGCUGCAGUUAUAUACUUAUUAUUCUCACACAUGAUAAAUACUUAAUAUAACGAACUUUAAUGUUCUGGGUGGAUUUCUUUAAAAAUAUCUUUUCCAU